Molecule: ribosomal RNA, 274 nt
Filed under: uncultured bacterium
Lineage: Bacteria
Description: partial 16S ribosomal RNA
Rfam family: Bacterial small subunit ribosomal RNA
Source: RNAcentral
AUACGGAGGUUGCGAGCGUUAAUCGGAAUUACUGGGCGUAAAGGGUGCGUAGGCGGCUUGAUAAGUCGGAUGUGAAAGCCCCGGGCUUAACCUGGGAAUUGCAUUCGAUACUGUCAGGCUAGAGUAUGUCAGAGGUUGGCGGAAUUCCUGGUGUAGCGGUGAAAUGCGUAGAUAUCAGGAGGAACACCAGUGGCGAAGGCGGCUAACUGGGACAAUACUGACGCUGAGGCACGAAAGCGUGGGGAGCAAACAGGAUUAGAAACCCCAGUAGUCC